This 549-nucleotide long non-coding RNA is filed under the name Pan troglodytes (chimpanzee). RNAcentral describes it as "long non-coding RNA NONPTRT003257". Lineage: Eukaryota; Metazoa; Chordata; Mammalia; Primates; Hominidae. The record is from RNAcentral.
UGGGUAUAUACCCAAUAAUGGGAUGGCUGGGUCAAAUGGUAUUUCUAGUUCUAGAUCCCUGAGGAAUUGCCACACUGACUUCCACAAUGGUUGAACUAGUUUACAGUCCCACCAACAGUGUAAAAGUGUUCCUAUUUCUCCACAUCCUCUCCAGCACCUGUUGUUUCCUGACUUUUUAAUGAUUGCCAUUCUAACUGGUGUGAGAUGGUAUCUCAUUGUGCAGGUAUAAUCUCAAAUUGAAAUGUGCAAUUUAUUGUAUGUCAAUUAUAUCUCAGUAAAGCUGUUUAAAAGUAAUAAUAAUGCUGCAAAGUGGUCUGAGGCUAUGUGGCAAGAGAGCCUCCACUUCCAUUUUGGAGUAGACUUUAUCAGAGUGAUAUCAAAGCCCUGCUGCUUGCUUCAUAGUUUUGGAAGACUGUAAGGAGGUGGCUCUUUCUAUUUUUACUACUAUACACUCACUUGUCUUCCAAGAGCCCAGAACAGGAAUUGGAGGUGAGGAGGGGCUGCUCUGUGCACACACAAACCUGAAUGGCAGUCACCACAUUGUACCCA